RNAcentral lists this long non-coding RNA (1242 nucleotides) under Numida meleagris (helmeted guineafowl). RNAcentral's name for it is "lncRNA (ENSNMEG00000002516.1)". Lineage: Eukaryota; Metazoa; Chordata; Aves; Galliformes; Numididae. The record is from RNAcentral.
AUGGUCUUUGGUGGUCCACCGUUGGGUUUUGGGGGUCUCCAGUGGUCUUUGGUGGUCCAUCAAUGGUUUUUGGGGGUCUCCAAUGGUCUUUGGGAUCCAUGGAUUGACUUUGUGGGUCUCCAGUGGUCUUUGGUGGUCCACCAGUGGCCUUUAGGUUCUCCCAAGCACUUUGGGGGUCCACCAGUGGUUUUUUGGGGUCUCCAAUGGUCUCUGGGGUCCAUCGAUUGGCCUUGGGAUUCUCCAGUGGUCUUUGGGGGGUCUCCAAAGCUUUCUGGGUUCCAUCAGAGGCUUUUGGGGGUCCCCAAUGGUCUUUGGGGUCCAUCAAUGGUCUUUGGGGGUCUCCAAUGGUCUUUGGGAUCCAUUGAUGGUCUUUGGUGGUCCACCGUUGGGUUUCGGGGGUCUGCAAUGGUUUUGGGGUCCAUCGAUGGUCUUUGGGGGUCUCCAUUGAUUUUUGGGAUCCACCAACGGUGUUUGGGGGUCUCCAAUGGUUUUGGGGUCCAUCGAUGGUCUUUGGGGAUCUCCAUUGAUUUUUGGGAUCCACCAAUGGUCUUUGGGGGUCUCCAGAGGGUUUUGGGGGUCUCCAAUGGUCUUUGGGAUCCAUCCAUGGUCUUUGGUGGCCCACCAGUGGUUUCUGGGGGGUCUCCAAAGGUUUCUAGGUUUCGUCAGUGGGUUUUGGGGGUCUCCAAUGGUCUUUGGGGGGUCUCUAGUAGGUUUUGGGGGUCUCCAAUGAUUUUUGGGGUCCAUCACUGGUCUUUGGGGGUCUCCAAUGGUCUUUGGCAUUCAUCCUCACCCGCUCGACCCCGUCGUAGAUCCAGGACGUGGUGCCCAUCAACAGCUACGACGCGGCCGGGACCUUCCUGCUGCUCGGCUGCAACAACGGCUCCAUCUACUACGUGGGUGAGCAAGGGGGGGGGAGGGGGUGGGGUGAGGGUUUUGGGGGUCUCCUGUGGGCUCUGGGGGGGUCUUCGGGGGUCUCCGAAGGUCUUUGGGGGUCCACCAGUGGUUUUGGGGGGUCCACCAGUGGUCGUUGGGGGGUCUCUGAAGGGCUUUGGGGGUCCAUCAACGGUCUUCGGGGGUCUCCGAAGGUUUCUGGGGGUCCAUCUGUGGUUUUUGGGGGUCCACCGGUGGUCAGUGGGGGUCUCCAAAGGUUUCUGGGAUCGGUCAUUGGGUUUUGGGGGUCUCCGAAGGGAUUUGGGGUCCGUCAGUGGUCAUUGGGGGUCUCCAAGGUUUCUGGGGGUCCAC